UCAGGAAAAGGUUAAAUUUGUG
RNAcentral lists this microRNA (22 nucleotides) under Oreochromis niloticus (Nile tilapia). Its description in RNAcentral is "oni-miR-10759". Lineage: Eukaryota; Metazoa; Chordata; Actinopteri; Cichliformes; Cichlidae. The record is from miRBase by way of RNAcentral.